AGUGAACGCUGGCGGUAGGCCUAACACAUGCAAGUCGAACGGCAGCACAGUAAGAGCUUGCUCUUACGGGUGGCGAGUGGCGGACGGGUGAGGAGUACAUCGGAAUCUACUUUUUCGUGGGGGAUAACGUAGGGAAACUUACGCUAAUACCGCAUACGACCUACGGGUGAAAGCAGGGGAUCUUCGGACCUUGCGCGAUUGAAUGAGCCGAUGUCGGAUUAGCUAGUUGGCGGGGUAAAGGCCCACCAAGGCGACGAUCCGUAGCUGGUCUGAGAGGAUGAUCAGCCACACUGGAACUGAGACACGGUCCAGACUCCUACGGGAGGCAGCAGUGGGGAAUAUUGGACAAUGGGCGCAAGCCUGAUCCAGCCAUACCGCGUGGGUGAAGAAGGCCUUCGGGUUGUAAAGCCCUUUUGUUGGGAAAGAAAAGCAGCAGAUUAAUACCCCGCUGUUCUGACGGUACCCAAAGAAUAAGCACCGGCUAACUUCGUG
Molecule: ribosomal RNA, 492 nt
Filed under: uncultured bacterium
Lineage: Bacteria
Description: partial 16S ribosomal RNA
Rfam family: Bacterial small subunit ribosomal RNA
Source: RNAcentral